UACGUAGGGAGCAAGCGUUGUCCGGAAUCAUUGGGCGUAAAGCGCGCGUAGGUGGCCCUGUAAGUCCGUUGUGAAAGUCAAAGGCUCAACCUUUGAAAGCCGAUGGAUACUGCAGGACUAGAGUACGGAAGAGGCGAGUGGAAUUCCUGGUAUAGCGGUGGAAUGCGCAGAUAUCAGGAGGAACACCAAUAGCGAAGGCAGCUCGCUGGGACGUUACUGACACUGAGGCGCGAAAGCGUGGGGAGCGAACAGG
RNAcentral lists this ribosomal RNA (253 nucleotides) under uncultured bacterium. RNAcentral describes it as "partial 16S ribosomal RNA". It matches the Rfam family "Bacterial small subunit ribosomal RNA", at positions 524 to 776 of the family's 1533-position model. The record is from RNAcentral.